GAUGAACGCUAGCUACAGGCUUAACACAUGCAAGUCGAGGGGUAACGAGAGGAAAGCUUGCUUUCCUUGUCGACGACCGGCGCACGGGUGAGUAACGCGUAUCCAACCUGCCCCCAACUAGGGAAUAACCUUGCGAAAGUAAGACUAAUACCCUAUAAUUUCCUCAGAUGCCAUCUGACGAGGAAUAAAGAUUUAUCGGUUGUGGAUGGGGAUGCGUCUGAUUAGCUUGUUGGCGGGGUAACGGCCCACCAAGGCAACGAUCAGUAGGGGUUCUGAGAGGAAGGUCCCCCACAUUGGAACUGAGACACGGUCCAAACUCCUACGGGAGGCAGCAGUGAGGAAUACUGGUCAAUGGGCGAGAGCCUGAACCAGCCAUGCCGCGUGCAGGAAGACGGCCCUAUGGGUUGUAAACUGCUUUUAUGUGAGGAUAAACCUAUUCUUGCGAGAGUAGCUGAAGGUAUCACAUGAAUAAGGAUCGGCUAACUCCGUGCCAGCAGCCGCAGUAA
RNAcentral lists this ribosomal RNA (506 nucleotides) under uncultured bacterium. Its description in RNAcentral is "partial 16S ribosomal RNA". It matches the Rfam family "Bacterial small subunit ribosomal RNA", at positions 28 to 523 of the family's 1533-position model. The record is from RNAcentral.